GGGUAGAGGGAAUUCCCAGUGUAGCGGUGAAAUGCGUAGAUAUUGGGAAGAACACCAGUGGCGAAGGCGCUCUACUGGGCCGUAACUGACGCUGAGGGACGAAAGCUAGGGGAGCGAAAGGGAUUAGAUACCCCUGUAGUCCUAGCUGUAAACGAUGGAUACUAGGUGUUGGACGUAUCGACCCGUUCAGUACCGCAGCCAACGCGAUAAGUAUCCCGCCUGGGGAGUACGCACGCAAGUGUGAAACUCAAAGGAAUUGACGGGGGCCCGCACAAGCGGUGGAGUAUGUGGUUUAAUUCGAUGCAACGCGAAGAACCUUACCAGGGCUUGACAUCCCCCGAAUCCCUCUGAAAGGAGGGAGUGCCUUCGGGAGCGGGGAGACAGGUGGUGCAUGGCUGUCGUCAGCUCGUGUCGUGAGAUGUUGGGUUAAGUCCCGCAACGAGCGCAACCCACGUCCUUAGUUGCCAUCAUUCAGUUGGGCACUCUGGGGAGACUGCCGGGGACAACUCGGAGGAAGGUGUGGAUGACGUCAAGUCAUCAUGCCCCUUACGUUCUGGGCUACACACGUACUACAAUGCUUCGGACAAAGGGCAGCGAGCCAGCGAUGGUGAGCUAAUCCCAUAAACCGAGGGACAGUUCAGAUUGCAGGCUGCAACUCGCCUGCAUGAAGGAGGAAUCGCUAGUAAUCGCAGG
This 693-nucleotide ribosomal RNA is filed under the name LPP-group cyanobacterium EBD-C. RNAcentral describes it as "bacterial SSU rRNA". It matches the Rfam family "Bacterial small subunit ribosomal RNA", at positions 655 to 1348 of the family's 1533-position model. Lineage: Bacteria; Bacillati; Cyanobacteriota; Cyanophyceae; Oscillatoriales. The record is from RNAcentral.